GAGCGGAAGCGCCUUGUUCCUGAUGGCGAUUUCUGCAUUGAAGGUUGGCGAGAUCGAGCUGAUGGCAGUUCUCCGUGCCACUCAAAUGCCCCUUUUUGAUGAUGGCCUCGAACAAGCUGCUACAUU
This is a small nucleolar RNA of Zingiber officinale, 126 nucleotides long. The record is from RefSeq and is a predicted model, not a curated record. Lineage: Eukaryota; Viridiplantae; Streptophyta; Magnoliopsida; Zingiberales; Zingiberaceae.